GUACUCGCUUUGGCAGCACAUAUACUAAAACUGGAAUGAUACAGAGAAGAUUAGCAUGGUCCCUGUGCAAGACUGACAUGCAAAUUGGUGAAGUGUUCCAUAUUUUU
This is a small nuclear RNA of Delphinapterus leucas (beluga whale), 107 nucleotides long. NCBI's taxonomy places the organism in Eukaryota, Metazoa, Chordata, Mammalia, Artiodactyla, Monodontidae. The record is from Ensembl.